AUGGUUUUCACUUCACAGCUCUGCCUUGUCAGGGUUAGUUAGGGGAAGUUUUUCCUUAUUAAUAAAAAAGCAAAGGGGGGCUACUUUGAGGAAUCUAAAAUAUAAGACGUGUUUUCAGUUAUUUCACACUUUUUAGUUAAGUACAUAAUUCCACAUGUGUUCAUUCAUAGUUUUGAUGCCUUCAGUGAGAAUCUACAAUGUAAAUAGUCAUGAAAAUAAAAAGGAAACGCAUUGAAUGAGAAGGUGUGUCCAAACUUUUGGCCUGUACUGUAUAUAUAUAUAUAUAU
Molecule: long non-coding RNA, 287 nt
Organism: Sander lucioperca (pikeperch)
Lineage: Eukaryota; Metazoa; Chordata; Actinopteri; Perciformes; Percidae
Exons: 3
Source: RefSeq, a predicted model, not a curated record